Molecule: long non-coding RNA, 1164 nt
Filed under: Anas platyrhynchos platyrhynchos (common mallard)
Lineage: Eukaryota; Metazoa; Chordata; Aves; Anseriformes; Anatidae
Description: lncRNA (ENSAPLG00000019244.1)
Source: RNAcentral
GGAAAGUAUAAGCUUAUGCCCUUGAAGAUUUUCUUGGAUACAGCUAUUGUGAGCAAGACAGGUCUUCAUGAUCCUUGUAUAUAUUAUAUGAUACAUAUUUUGUGUAAAAUAUACACAGUGAAAUGAUGCAGUAUACUUUAUAGAUCAAGAGAUUAUUCUCUUUCUACUGCUCUAGUUGUUCGAGCUAGUUCUCCUGUAUGAUAUGUAAAAAUGUCAUGUGAUUUAUACACACAUUUAUACUGUGAUACUCACUUAGAAUCUCUUACAUUUAUUAGCUCUGACUUUCACCAUCUACAACAAAAUAAAUAUAGAUACAUUCUAGUUAACCAUUCUGGACACACUUUAUCAAAUAGCAGCAUGAAAGUCAUCCUCUGAUCCCCUAUCCUGUUUUCCUUCUUCUCCCUUUACUUAAAUGCUCCUUUGUUGCAUAGCAUGAAACUGGAUUAUGUGAGACUGAGUUGCCUAUCAUGUCAGAGGGUGUUUCAAAAAUGCUAUAGCAAUAUGGUACUUUCCUUCCAGAAAGAGUCUUGGUUUUAUGAAUAUUCCCAGAGAGUCCAAGGGAUCCAGCAGGAAUCAAACCCCCAAGAUUUGAAAGUGCUACCUGUUCUUGGACCAGACAUUUUCUGCUUGGACCAUACCUUUUUCUGAAAUAAUAAAAACUGAGGAGUACAAAGAGACAGUGCCAUAGAAACUCUGCAUCACAACCAAGAGCAUCAUCAGGAGCAGCAGCAGCAGCAGCCCUGGCAGGAGCCAGAGCCCGGCAGCCGAGGCUGCAGCCAGCCGCCUGCCGUCCCCUACCUGCACCGUCACCCCGCCACAGCACCGGCAGCGGCCCCGCUGCUCCCCAACGGGGGCAGGAAUAGGGGAGAGGGAGCUGAGGGAGGUGCACUGCAGAGGGAUCCCAGACAACCCAGGUAAGAGCCACGGGGCUGCUCGCAAAGUCCCCGUGAUCGCUGUGGUGUGUGCCUGGCGUGUGUUUGCGUGCGAGUGUUUGUUGCUAGUUUUUCCGGCUCUCCCCUUCCAACAGCAGGGUGAUGACAAUUCAAGGCAAGCAUGUUUUCUGGCUCGUGGUUCCCGUCUCUGCCAUACUGUCCCUCUCCGUCUCCUCCAUCCUGAUGUAUAAGGAAUAAUAAAUCAUAUUUUAAGAGGUUGUUUGAAAACGGG